UCUCCACAAUUUCCCUAGGUACUCAAAGUUAUACCACGUAACAAGUUCUUUAAAAUUAAAGGCUUGAGAACCAAUAAUUCCGAUGAUGAAGAUGGAAAGCUUAGUGUCACUGCGAUGGCCAUAAAUAACCAUGAAACAGCGGGGGCAGAUAGAUUUUCCCCCGCUAGCAGCGCAACAGUGUAUGAUUCAUGCCCAGAUAGUGACACAGAUGAACCACCGAUGUUUGCCGACACUUCCAUGUCUAACUGGAAACUCCACGAUGAUAAGGAAAAGAAGGCUGAUGCAGAUAGAAAGUUUGAAUGGAGCUGCAUGGAAGAAAAUAAACAGCAUAGCCCUCGGUCAGUAUUAGAAGAAGUGUCUACUUCAAACAAGCUCCCUACCUGAUAAUCCAAGACCUGUAUCCAGGAAAAGACUCUUCUUGCCUAAGCUGCUAAAGCUGGACACAAUAU
Hibiscus syriacus is the source of this 449-nucleotide long non-coding RNA. RefSeq lists it as uncharacterized. Lineage: Eukaryota; Viridiplantae; Streptophyta; Magnoliopsida; Malvales; Malvaceae. The transcript is spliced from 3 exons. The record is from RefSeq and is a predicted model, not a curated record.